Molecule: long non-coding RNA, 291 nt
Organism: Drosophila subpulchrella
Lineage: Eukaryota; Metazoa; Arthropoda; Insecta; Diptera; Drosophilidae
Exons: 2
Source: RefSeq, a predicted model, not a curated record
AGCCGAUGCCAUAAUUGCCACAAGGCAAUAUAUGGAAAAAGAAAACAUUCCUGACACUUGCGACCCCUUGAAGUAUUGGGAGAUGACUGCUGACAACGAACUGAAAUUGGUUGCAAAAAAAUUUUUCUGUAUACAAGCCUCGUCCUGUGAGUCUGAACGAGUAUUCAGCAAAGCUGGACAAACCAUAUCUGACCGCAGGACAAGGCUUAAACCUGAAGUUGUUGAUCAACUUUUGUUCCUGAAUAGAAAUAGACACUUUAAAUGAUCUCAAAUAAAUCUCAUGUUACUGUU